Carya illinoinensis is the source of this 692-nucleotide long non-coding RNA. RefSeq lists it as uncharacterized. The record is from RefSeq and is a predicted model, not a curated record. The transcript is spliced from 3 exons. Lineage: Eukaryota; Viridiplantae; Streptophyta; Magnoliopsida; Fagales; Juglandaceae.
GAUGAAGCCAUUGGAGAAAGUUAUAUGUGCCGUACAAUGCCAAAAUGCAUAGCUAGCUAGCUGCAUAUUGUCAAUCAUGUUGUACGUACCAGCCAAUGACGCACAGCCGAUGACCUCAGAUACUUUCUAGAGCGUUUAAAUCCCAACCACAUAAAAAAAUAAAAUAAAAUAAAAAAUUACAGUGCAAUAAAACCACACCCACGUCGGCUGCUCAAACAAAGGAUCCCUCAAACAAAGGAGCCCUUGAGGAGUACUGCAAAGUUGAGCACAACCAUAUAAGCCAGUUAGUGCCCAUUUGGCCCCAUCAGCGUACGUAGAUAUAUAAAUACAUGAUUGAAGGCCGAUGUAUGUUCUAAAAGAUGGAAGCCGGCCAAGAAGAUAAACAGAACUUUGCUGCUGAUCUCUCUCUCUCUCUCUCUCUCUCUCUCUCUCUCUCUCUCUCAAAUUAAGAGUCCAAGCAUAGCUCCUGCAAGGUUUCAAUAUCCGGCCAUCACAAACAGCAGCUAGCUAGCUAGCGCUGAAAGGUUCGCUACGCAGGAGAGAUGGCGCCGUCACCCAAAUCUAUGUAUAUCCUUUCGGAAUUGGGAUUAGGGGGCCGGCAUCAUUUAUCCUGCAUAGGAAACCUUUCACGCUCAAGAAGUGAUCUCACGUACGUACGUAUAUAUGUAAUUUUAAGAGCUUUUGGUGCAGGA